GAGGAUCUAGGAAGGUGGAAAAGGUAUCCAUGUCCAUUCCCAUAAAGGAACCACAAGCUUCGAGCAUCGGCUCUAUUUGUUGAUUGCAUUGAAUUUGGUAUGAAGCCUAUUGUGUAAACUAGAGCUCCAGCUAUUCCAUUCACUAAGGCAAUGUUAAAGUUUGUGGUCUAGGCUAAGAAGCUUGAGGACGUGGUGUUACAGAAGAACUACCACUAACCGAAGGUUGAGAAUAUCAAUAAAUAAGUCUCAUGUCAAUUGAAACUUUCGAGUGCAGUAAUUC
This 280-nucleotide long non-coding RNA is filed under the name Theobroma cacao (cacao). RNAcentral's name for it is "long non-coding RNA (TCAC_LNC005559)". Lineage: Eukaryota; Viridiplantae; Streptophyta; Magnoliopsida; Malvales; Malvaceae. The record is from RNAcentral.